UAGUCCACGCCCUAAACGAUGCUAACUCGAUAUUUGUCGUAAGAUGAGUGUCUAAGCGAAAGCGAUAGGUUAGCCACCUGGGGAGUACGUUCGCAAGAAUGAAACUCAAAGGAAUUGACGGGGGCCCGCACAAGCGGUGGAGUAUGUGGUUUAAUUCGAAGCAACGCGCAGAACCUUACCUACCCUUAACAUUUCACGACCGCCUCAGAGAUGAGGUUUUCUCUUCGGAGACGUGAGGAUAGGUGCUGCAUGGCUGUCGUCAGCUCGUGUCGUAAGAUGUCUGGUUAAGUCCAAUAACGAGCGCAACCCUUAUCCUUAGUUACCAGCAUUGAGUUGGGGACUCUAGGGAGACUGCCGGUGUUAAACCGGAGGAAGGCGGGGAUGACGUCAAGUCCUCAUGGCCCUUACGGGUAGGGCUACACACGUACUACAAUGGCAGAAACAACCGCCGCAAUAUCGCAAGAUGGAGCUAAACGGUAAACACUGUCUCAGUCCGGAUUGAAGUCUGCAACUCGACUUC
RNAcentral lists this ribosomal RNA (520 nucleotides) under uncultured bacterium. RNAcentral's name for it is "bacterial SSU rRNA". It matches the Rfam family "Bacterial small subunit ribosomal RNA", at positions 791 to 1319 of the family's 1533-position model. The record is from RNAcentral.